RNAcentral lists this non-coding RNA (91 nucleotides) under Lentilactobacillus curieae. Its description in RNAcentral is "Lactobacillus curieae TPP sequence". It matches the Rfam family "TPP riboswitch aptamer (THI element)". From Rfam's summary of the family: Vitamin B(1) in its active form thiamin pyrophosphate (TPP) is an essential coenzyme that is synthesised by coupling of pyrimidine and thiazole moieties in bacteria. The previously detected thiamin-regulatory element, thi box was extended, resulting in a new, highly conserved RNA secondary structure, the THI element, which is widely distributed in eubacteria and also occurs in some archaea. The record is from Rfam by way of RNAcentral. Lineage: Bacteria; Bacillati; Bacillota; Bacilli; Lactobacillales; Lactobacillaceae.
UACAACUAUCUGGGGUGCCGCAAGGCUGAGAUAAAACCCAUCGAACCUGAUCUGGCUAAUACCAGCGAAGGGAGCAUAAUUCCGUUGUAUU